CAUCCAUUGUUGUUUUUUUUUUUUUGAAAGCAACAGAUUCUCUUCAGUUUUGUGAGGAAAUUUUUGGCCAAAACCUGUCUGAAUAACAGAAGCUUGUCAGUCGUUAUUUCAGUAACACUUGUGUUUGUUGCAACUGACGUGAUUGCAGGAGCUGCACAGGGCACUUGUCCAUCCUACUUGAGCAUGCAGCAGACACCAUUUCUCCACACAAUGUUAAGAAGACAGUAACGGGCCACUGUGUAAUCAACACUGUUUCACCAAUGGCAUUCUUAAGUGAAGCUGACAUUCUUUUCUU
Molecule: long non-coding RNA, 295 nt
Filed under: Pan troglodytes (chimpanzee)
Lineage: Eukaryota; Metazoa; Chordata; Mammalia; Primates; Hominidae
Description: long non-coding RNA NONPTRT007659
Source: RNAcentral